RNAcentral lists this ribosomal RNA (1179 nucleotides) under Streptococcus pneumoniae. Its description in RNAcentral is "partial 23S ribosomal RNA". It matches the Rfam family "Bacterial large subunit ribosomal RNA", at positions 685 to 1858 of the family's 2925-position model. Lineage: Bacteria; Bacillati; Bacillota; Bacilli; Lactobacillales; Streptococcaceae. The record is from RNAcentral.
GAAUAGGGCGCAUAAGUAACAGGUCGUAGACCCGAAACCAGGUGAUCUACCCAUGUCCAGGAUGAAGGUAAGGUAAUACUUACUGGAGGUCCGAACCCACGCACGUUGAAAAGUGCGGGGAUGAGGUGUGGGUAGCGGAGAAAUUCCAAUCGAACUUGGAGAUAGCUGGUUCUCUCCGAAAUAGCUUUAGGGCUAGCCUCGAGGUAAAGAGUCAUGGAGGUAGAGCACUGUUUGGACUAGGGGCCCUUCUCGGGUUACCGAAUUCAGAUAAACUCCGAAUGCCAUGUACUUAUACUCGGGAGUCAGACUGCGAGUGAUAAGAUCCGUAGUCGAAAGGGAAACAGCCCAGACCACCAGUUAAGGUCCCCAAAUAUAUGUUAAGUGGAAAAGGAUGUGGGGUUGCUUAGACAACCAGGAUGUUGGCUUAGAAGCAGCCACCAUUGAAAGAGGGCGUAAUAGCUCACUGGUCGAGUGACCCCGCGCCGAAAAUGUACCGGGGCUAAACAUAUUACCGAAACUGUGGAUGAACCUCUUUAGAGGUUCGUGGUAGGAGAGCGUUCUAAGGGCGGUGAAGUCAGACCGGAAGGACUGGUGGAGCGCUUAGAAGUGAGAAUGCCGGUAUGAGUAGCGAAAGAAGGGUGAGAAUCCCUUCCACCGAAUAUCUAAGGUUUCCUGAGGAAGGCUCGUCCGCUCAGGGUUAGUCGGGACCUAAGCCGAGGCCGAUAGGCGUAGGCGAUGGACAACAGGUAGAGAUUCCUGUACCAGUGCUAAUUGUUUAACCGAUGGGGUGACACAGAAGGAUAGGGAAUCGCACGAAUGGAAAUGUGCGUCCAAGCAGUGAGUGUGAGAAGUAGGCAAAUCCGCUUCUCGCGAAGCAUGAGCUGUGAUGGGGAAGGAAAUUAAGUACGGAAGUUCCUGAUUUCACGCUGUCAAGAAAAGCCUCUAGGAAGAGUAGUACUGCCCGUACCGCAAACCGACACAGGUAGAUGAGGAGAGAAUCCUAAGGUGAGCGAGAGAACUCUCGUUAAGGAACUCGGCAAAAUGACCCCGUAACUUCGGGAGAAGGGGUGCUCUAUUAGGGUGCAAGCCCGAGAGAGCCGCAGUGAAUAGGCCCAGGCGACUGUUUAGCAAAAACACAGGUCUCUGCAAAACCGUAAGGUCACGAAUAGGGGCUGACGC